This 276-nucleotide long non-coding RNA is filed under the name Gossypium raimondii (Peruvian cotton). RNAcentral's name for it is "long non-coding RNA (GRAI_LNC000326)". The record is from RNAcentral. Lineage: Eukaryota; Viridiplantae; Streptophyta; Magnoliopsida; Malvales; Malvaceae.
CGUGUUUUCUCCUUGUUUGCAGAGUGAUUUGAUGUUGAUUGAGUAGGUGACGGAGUUGGUGGUUGCUAGAGGUGGAGGCAGCAGAGAAGAGGCAACGGCGGCUGGCAAGUCCAGAAGCAGGUGGUGCGGCGCAAUAGGGUUAGGGGGAUUAGGGUUUUUCUCAUAGCUUUAGGUUAUUGGGCCAUUGCGCUGUUCAUUGUAAUUGGAUUUAGUGUUUAGGUGAGUUGAAGUUUGGGUUUGUUGGGUCAAUUGUAUUGGGUCGGGCAAAAAAUGGAC